AAUUAUGGUGAGCUGGGCAAGGCAGCCUUGGCUGACCGUGUCUUGGAGAGCGGUAUUCCUACACCUUGUUCCAGUUCACCACCCGA
This is a non-coding RNA of Vibrio sp. MEBiC08052, 86 nucleotides long. NCBI's taxonomy places the organism in Bacteria, Pseudomonadati, Pseudomonadota, Gammaproteobacteria, Vibrionales, Vibrionaceae. The record is from Rfam.